UACGUAGGGUGCGAGCGUUAAUCGGAAUUACUGGGCGUAAAGCGUGCGCAGGCGGUUUUGUAAGCCAGAUGUGAAAUCCCCGGGCUCAACCUGGGAAUGGCAUUUGGGACUGCAAGGCUGGAGUUUGGCAGAGGAGACUGGAAUUCCUGGUGUAGCAGUGAAAUGCGUAGAGAUCGGGAGGAACACCAGUGGCGAAGGCGGCUACCUGGACCAGCACUGACACUGAAGCACGAAAGCGUGGGGAGCAAACAGG
This 253-nucleotide ribosomal RNA is filed under the name uncultured bacterium. RNAcentral's name for it is "partial 16S ribosomal RNA". It matches the Rfam family "Bacterial small subunit ribosomal RNA", at positions 524 to 776 of the family's 1533-position model. The record is from RNAcentral.